This 207-nucleotide ribosomal RNA is filed under the name uncultured bacterium. RNAcentral's name for it is "partial 16S ribosomal RNA". It matches the Rfam family "Bacterial small subunit ribosomal RNA", at positions 568 to 774 of the family's 1533-position model. The record is from RNAcentral.
CACGUAGGCGGUCCGGUAAGUCGGGUGUGAAAUCCCUCUUCUCAACUGAGGAAGUGCAUUCGAAACUACCGAACUUGAAUAUGGAAGAGGGUCGCGGAAUUCCCGGUGUAGAGGUGAAAUUCGUAGAUAUCGGGAGGAACACCAGUGGCGAAGGCGGCGACCUGGGCCAAUAUUGACGCUGAGGUGCGAAAGCGUGGGGAGCAAACG